AGUGAACGCUGGCGGUAGGCCUAACACAUGCAAGUCGAACGGCAGCACAGUAAGAGCUUGCUCUUACGGGUGGCGAGUGGCGGACGGGUGAGGAAUACAUCAGCAUCUACUUUUUCGUGGGGGAUAACGUAGGGAAACUUACGCUAAUACCUCAUACGACCUACGGGUGAAAGCAGGGGAUCUUCGGACCUUGCGCGAUUGAAUGAGCCGAUGUCGGAUUAGCUAGUUGGCGGGGUAAAGGCCCACCAAGGCGACGAUCCGUAGCUGGUCUGAGAGGAUGAUCAGCCACACUGGAACUGAGACACGGUCCAGACUCCUACGGGAGGCAGCAGUAGGGAAUAUUGGACAAUGGGCGCAAGCCUGAUCCAGCCAUACCGCGUGGGUGAAGAAGGCCUUCGGGUUGUAAAGCCCUUUUGUUGGGAAAGAAAAGCAGCAGGUUAAUACCCCGCUGUUCUGACGGUACCCAAAGAAUAAGCACCGGCUAACUUCGUG
This 492-nucleotide ribosomal RNA is filed under the name uncultured bacterium. RNAcentral describes it as "partial 16S ribosomal RNA". It matches the Rfam family "Bacterial small subunit ribosomal RNA", at positions 29 to 507 of the family's 1533-position model. The record is from RNAcentral.